AAAAGUAGGUAGGCCUUGCAAUUUGGUAAUAAAAUCUAUGUUCCUUUUACAAAUCUAUUGAAACAAAUUAUACAUGUUUUUCAUUACAUGUGAAAAUGAAAGUAAAUCUUCAUAUUUCAACGUAAGCACUGGUGGCGUCAACCAGUUUUCUCAAACGGCUAGGGAUGGAAUGAACAACUUUCUGAAGGACGUCGUCAGAAAUAUCUUUGAGAAACUCUUGAAUCCGUGU
This is a long non-coding RNA of Octopus sinensis (East Asian common octopus), 229 nucleotides long. RefSeq lists it as uncharacterized. The transcript has 3 exons. The record is from RefSeq and is a predicted model, not a curated record. NCBI's taxonomy places the organism in Eukaryota, Metazoa, Mollusca, Cephalopoda, Octopoda, Octopodidae.